RNAcentral lists this ribosomal RNA (402 nucleotides) under uncultured bacterium. Its description in RNAcentral is "bacterial SSU rRNA". It matches the Rfam family "Bacterial small subunit ribosomal RNA", at positions 355 to 774 of the family's 1533-position model. The record is from RNAcentral.
UGGGGAAUCUUGCACAAUGGGGGAAACCCUGAUGCAGCGACGCCGCGUGAACGAUGAAGCCCUUCGGGGUGUAAAGUUCUUUCGACAGGAACGAUAAUGACGGUACCUGGAGAAGAAGCUGCGGCUAACUACGCGCCAGCAGCCGCGGUAAUACGUAGGCAGCGAGCGUUGUUCGGAGUUACUGGGCGUAAAGAGUGCGUAGGCGGCGAGCCAAGUUUGGUGUGAAAUCUCCCGGCUUAACCGGGAGGGUGCGCCGAAAACUGGUUGGCUGGAGUAUGGGAGAGGAAAGCGGAAUUCCUGGUGUAGCGGUGAAAUGCGUGGAUAUCAGGAGGAACACCUGCGGUGUAGACAGCUUUCUGGACCAAAACUGACGCUGAGGCACGAAAGCGUGGGUAGCAAACA